GGUGGCAUAGCCAAGUGGUAAGGCAGAGGCCUGCAAAGCCUCCAUCCCCCAGUUCGAAUCUGGGUGCCACCU
Molecule: transfer RNA, 72 nt
Filed under: Chlamydiia bacterium
Lineage: Bacteria; Pseudomonadati; Chlamydiota; Chlamydiia
Description: tRNA-Cys
Rfam family: tRNA
About the family: Transfer RNA (tRNA) molecules are approximately 80 nucleotides in length. Their secondary structure includes four short double-helical elements and three loops (D, anti-codon, and T loops).
Source: RNAcentral